AAGGAAUCUUCCACAAUGGGCGAAAGCCUGAUGGAGCAAUGCCGCGUGCAGGAAGACGCUUUUCGGAGUGUAAACUGCUUUUCUGAAGGAAGAUUAUGACGGUACUUCAGGAAUAAGGAUCGGCUAACUACGUGCCAGCAGCCGCGGUAAUACGUAGGAUCCAAGCGUUAUCCGGAAUUACUGGGCGUAAAGCGUGCGCAGACGGUUUGAUAGGUCGAUUGCGAAAUCCCGUGGCUCAACCAUGUGGACUGUAAUCGAAACCAUCUGACUAGAGGUAGGUAGAGGCAAGUGGAAUUUCUGGUGUAGGGGUGACAUCCGUAGAUAUCAGAAGGAACACCAAUGGCGAAGGCAGCUUGCUGGGCCUUACCUGACGUUCAGGCACGAAAGCGUGGGGAGCAAAC
Molecule: ribosomal RNA, 401 nt
Filed under: uncultured bacterium
Lineage: Bacteria
Description: bacterial SSU rRNA
Rfam family: Bacterial small subunit ribosomal RNA
Source: RNAcentral